Molecule: ribosomal RNA, 492 nt
Filed under: uncultured bacterium
Lineage: Bacteria
Description: partial 16S ribosomal RNA
Rfam family: Bacterial small subunit ribosomal RNA
Source: RNAcentral
AGUGAACGCUAGCGGUAGGCCUAACACAUGCAAGUCGAACGGCAGCACAGUAAGAGCUUGCUCUUACGGGUGGCGAGUGGCGGACGGGUGAGGAAUACAUCGGAAUCUACUUUUUCGUGGGGGAUAACGUAGGGAAACUUACGCUAAUACCGCAUACGACCUACGGGUGAAAGCAGGGGAUCUUCGGACCUUGCGCGAUUGAAUGAGCCGAUGUCGGAUUAGCUAGUUGGCGGGGUAAAGGCCCACCAAGGCGACGAUCCGUAGCUGGUCUGAGAGGAUGAUCGGCCACACUGGAACUGAGACACGGUCCAGACUCCUACGGGAGGCAGCAGUGGGGAAUGUUGGACAAUGGGCGCAAGCCUGAUCCAGCCAUACCGCGUGGGUGAAGAAGGCCUUCGGGUUGUAAAGCCCUUUUGUUGGGAAAGAAAAGCAGCAGGUUAAUACCCCGCUGUUCUGACGGUACCCAAAGAAUAAGCACCGGCUAACUUCGUG